Molecule: transfer RNA, 73 nt
Filed under: Mercenaria mercenaria
Lineage: Eukaryota; Metazoa; Mollusca; Bivalvia; Venerida; Veneridae
Description: transfer RNA arginine (anticodon ACG)
Rfam family: tRNA
About the family: Transfer RNA (tRNA) molecules are approximately 80 nucleotides in length. Their secondary structure includes four short double-helical elements and three loops (D, anti-codon, and T loops). Further hydrogen bonds mediate the characteristic L-shaped molecular structure. tRNAs have two regions of fundamental functional importance: the anti-codon, which is responsible for specific mRNA codon recognition, and the 3' end, to which the tRNAs corresponding amino acid is attached (by aminoacyl-tRNA synthetases). tRNAs cope with the degeneracy of the genetic code in two manners: having more than one tRNA (with a specific anti-codon) for a particular amino acid; and 'wobble' base-pairing, i.e. permitting non-standard base-pairing at the 3rd anti-codon position.
Source: RNAcentral
GCCCGGUUAGCUCAGUAGGUAGAGCGUUGGUCUACGGAUCUCGGGGUCGUGAGUUCGAUCCUCGCGCUGGGCG